GGAUGAUGAGAGGUUUGGUUGUUAUCUUUUUGUUGGAGACCAUUACGGUUGUUCAAGGUCUUUGCAACUUUCCCAGUGAACUUGUUGGUAGAUCAUAUGACACUCAAGCAAGUUCUGACAUAUUUACAUUUUCUGAGACGCAGAUGCUUCUUCAAGGCGAAGCAAUGGCCGGGAGCCUAGUGACCAUAUUAGCCUUCGAUUGCCUAGAUAGGAAUGGUGAUUUUUACCUGAUUGACCGCGGGUUUAUUUUUGAAUGCUUAAAAUUUAUUUCAACGGACAGCUCGACGCCACAAGCGUAUACUAUUGGACAAACAACACCUAGC
Molecule: long non-coding RNA, 323 nt
Organism: Mytilus californianus (California mussel)
Lineage: Eukaryota; Metazoa; Mollusca; Bivalvia; Mytilida; Mytilidae
Exons: 3
Source: RefSeq, a predicted model, not a curated record